RNAcentral lists this long non-coding RNA (689 nucleotides) under Drosophila guanche. Lineage: Eukaryota; Metazoa; Arthropoda; Insecta; Diptera; Drosophilidae. The record is from RNAcentral.
UUUUUCCUUUUUUCAAAUUACAAUCCGGCGCAUGUGUAUCGUUCGGAUCGGUUUGGAUCGGAUCGAAUUCAAUAAAAUUAUUGGGCGCGUCUCUAUUCGAGCGUUAACAAAUAUUAUUGUUCAUUUUGCUGUUAUUGUGAUUAUAAAUUUUCAAUGUGUAAACAGCAGAGGAAGCAGCGACAAACGGCAGCGGCAGCGGCAGCCAACGAUUCGAAGGUGCAGCCUGUAAAUUAUUGUGCAGGUGAGUCUUAAAUGGUUUUAUUUUGAUUUUAAUAACGGAAAUACUAAAUUAAAUAUAGAAAUUCCCCAACAAGCUGAUUGAUUUACACUGCUGCAAUUGUUCAGCCCCAAUCCCCUUCCACCUAUCGAUUGACUGAGCAACGAGAAUGGAUAGUGGCUCGACCCUCGACCGGAACACACCCAGCUAGACGCAGAUUGUGGCAUACACAAAUGAAUAGCUAUAGCCUUUUUUAUUUACAGAUAAAUAAAUAUAUAAAAUGGGCAAAUGCUGCUUUACAUAUCAAUGGAACGAUCGCUUUGGGCAGUAGAUAAUAGGCCUCAAUCGUGUUCCAGCUGAAUGGCUAAAUGUUUGAUGUCAAAAUGACAAAUUGUGAAUCGAUUAGAUGCAUAUUUGUAUGUACACCCACAGAGGAACGUGUCUUAACCCAAAUGCCAUGCAAAAAAGUGAC